RNAcentral lists this long non-coding RNA (495 nucleotides) under Numida meleagris (helmeted guineafowl). RNAcentral's name for it is "lncRNA (ENSNMEG00000016797.1)". Lineage: Eukaryota; Metazoa; Chordata; Aves; Galliformes; Numididae. The record is from RNAcentral.
ACUGUUUUAUUUAGAAAGAUUCUUUUAUUUGGCUAAUGAAUGACUUGAAACGCGAGAUUAACUUGUUUCACCUACUUAUGUAACAUCUCUGCUUCAGGGCUUAGAAGCUGCAGCUAUGCGAUUCAGUCUGUGAGCCUCCAGGUACCCAAGGAGAUGCUGCCCAGUUAAAUCAGAUUUCGUUACAGCUGUGAUCCAAGCCAUGAAGUGAAAACUCAAAGUACACAGGAUUAAAGGAAACACCUGAUUUGCACAUCUGUUUCUUUUCAAAUGGAAAUGAAGUGGAGGAUAGUAAGCUUUUGAAUGCAGUGGUGCUGUUUGCUUGUUUGUUUCAAAACUCAGGCAAAAAAAAAAUGGGAAUAAUAAGACAUCCAGCAUCCAACUCUGUGUCGCAUUCAAGGAGAAGGAGUUUAGAUUCCUCUCCAAAAUGUAUGCUUUUCUGAGAAAGUCAGAAGAGUUAAUGAAAAAAGUCCCAAUUCUGAAGACUGAGAAACUCUG